CUUUGCUGCUUUAAAGUGAGCCACGGAGGAGGGAAGGAAGGGGAACCAUGGCUCUCAUCCGUCCUUCCUCCGUGGCUCACUUUAAAGCAGCAAA
This is a non-coding RNA of Podarcis lilfordi (Lilford's wall lizard), 94 nucleotides long. Lineage: Eukaryota; Metazoa; Chordata; Lepidosauria; Squamata; Lacertidae. The record is from the annotation of a GenBank genome assembly.